UACAGAGGGUGCGAGCGUUAAUCGGAAUUACUGGGCGUAAAGCGCACGUAGGCGGCUUGGUAUGUCGGGUGUGAAAUCCCCGGGCUCAACCUGGGAACUGCAUCCGAAACUGCCUUGCUCGAGUAUGGGAGAGGGAAGUGGAAUUUCCGGUGUAGCGGUGAAAUGCGUAGAUAUCGGAAGGAACAUCAGUGGCGAAGGCGACUUCCUGGACCAAUACUGACGCUCAGGUGCGAAAGCUAGGGGAGCAAACAGG
This 253-nucleotide ribosomal RNA is filed under the name uncultured bacterium. RNAcentral describes it as "partial 16S ribosomal RNA". It matches the Rfam family "Bacterial small subunit ribosomal RNA", at positions 524 to 776 of the family's 1533-position model. The record is from RNAcentral.